RNAcentral lists this ribosomal RNA (497 nucleotides) under uncultured bacterium. RNAcentral describes it as "partial 16S ribosomal RNA". It matches the Rfam family "Bacterial small subunit ribosomal RNA", at positions 28 to 507 of the family's 1533-position model. The record is from RNAcentral.
GAUGAACGCUGGCGGCGUGCCUAAUACAUGCAAGUCGAGCGAACAGACGAGGAGCUUUCUCCUCUGACGUUAGCGUCGGACGGGUGAGUAACACGUGGAUAACCCACCUAUAUGACUGGGAUAACUUCGGGAAACCGGAGCUAAUACCGGAUAAUCUAUUGAACCGCAUGGUUCAAUAGUGAAAGACGGUUUUGCUGUCACUUAUAGAUGGAUCCGCGCCGUAUUAGCUAGUUGGUAAGGUAACGGCUUACCAAGGCGACGAUGCGUAGCCGACCUGAGAGGGUGAUCGGCCACACUGGAACUGAGACACGGUCCAGACUCCUACGGGAGGCAGCAGUGGGGAAUCUUCCGCAAUGGGCGAAAGCCUGACGGAGCAACGCCGCGUGUGUGAUGAAGGUCUUCGGAUCGUAAAGCUCUGUUAUUGGGGAAGAACAAAUUUGUGAGUAACUAUGCACGUAUUGACGGUACCUGAUCAGAAAGCCACGGCUAACUACGUG